UACGUAGGUGGCAAGCGUUGUCCGGAAUUAUUGGGCGUAAAGCGCGCGCAGGCGGUUCCUUAAGUCUGAUGUGAAAGCCCACGGCUCAACCGUGGAGGGUCAUUGGAAACUGGGGAACUUGAAUGCAGGAGAGAAGAGUGGAAUUCCACGUGUAGCGGUGAAAUGCGUAGAGAUGUGGAGGAACACCAGUGGCGAAGGCGACUCUUUGGCCUGUAACUGACGCUGAGGCGCGAAAGCGUGGGGAGCAAACAGG
Molecule: ribosomal RNA, 253 nt
Filed under: uncultured bacterium
Lineage: Bacteria
Description: partial 16S ribosomal RNA
Rfam family: Bacterial small subunit ribosomal RNA
Source: RNAcentral